AGCGGGAUGCAACAGGCUCAAAACUCAAUUGAAAAAGGUUGUAUAGCGAAUUAUUAUUUGCUAAUUAUAGCGAGGGUGUUUGCAAGGCUGCCAAGCAAUUUGAUACAAUUGGGAGAAAAAACCUGGUCACCUCGCAAAAAAGACGGACGCGAGGUCACAUGCAAUGAUAGAAGUCGACAAUGAUACUUUAGCCCACAUUAGGAAUGAGCUAAGUGAGACUACUGAAAUAUGUAACCAUGGACCGCCGUUCCACCUUCCUGCUGAAGUGAGCACAGCACAACAAGGCGACCAGAACUGUCUAUCACAGCCCUAACUGCUGCUGCACGAAGACCACUCUUUCCUAAAAAGGUCCGGAAGUUUGAGCACGUCAACCGCCAGUGGUCCUUGCCUGCAGACACACAACCCAACACAACCGCCACAGCCCCCAAAACGGCCUCAACUCGUACACCCGCAGACACCCAUCCCAACACGCCCGCCCCGGGUUAAACAAACUGCUUGUCCCUUUCUCCCCCUUUUACCUCCACACACCCUAUCAAUGUUACAGGACUCUGACUUGCAGGCUCAAACUCUGCACUGACCCAUGCACUGCUACUGCUAUACUGCUUUUUGUGAAACCACCCUAGAAUAAGAGUGCUAGUUUACUGUGUAAAAUGAUGAUGAUGUUAUGUUGGUCUAGCAGACGAUCCUUUAAAGACUAAGGAUGCAGAGAAGGAUGGCAAGAAGGAGGAGAAGACUGGAAAGACGGAAGACUUAGAAGUAAACAAACUAGCACAGUGGAUCUGGGGCGAUUCCAGGGUCAGUUAUCUGGCCCAAAUGUAUUACUUGGGGCUCGGGCCGAUUCCGGGGUCAGUUAUCUGGCCCAAAUGUAUUAGUUGGGGCUCGGACCGAUUCCGGGGUCAGUUAUCUGGCCCAAAUGUAUUACUUGGGGCUCGGGCUGAUUCCAGGGUCAGUUAUCUGGCCCAAAUGUAUUUCUUGGGGCUCGAGAUGAUUCCGGUGUUAGCUAUCUGGCCCAAAUGUAUUUCUUGGUGCUCGGGCCCAUUCCGGUGUCAAUUAUCUGGCCCAAAUGUAUACAUUACAUGGGUCUCGGGCCGAUUCCGGUCAUAGUUAUCUGGCCCAAAUGUUAUUUAUUUUUCCAUAUUUUCUCAUUGUUUCUGUGAUAAA
Long non-coding RNA from Oncorhynchus keta (chum salmon), 1161 nucleotides. RefSeq lists it as uncharacterized. The record is from RefSeq and is a predicted model, not a curated record. The transcript has 5 exons. Lineage: Eukaryota; Metazoa; Chordata; Actinopteri; Salmoniformes; Salmonidae.